Molecule: long non-coding RNA, 964 nt
Filed under: Helianthus annuus (common sunflower)
Lineage: Eukaryota; Viridiplantae; Streptophyta; Magnoliopsida; Asterales; Asteraceae
Description: hypothetical non coding rna
Source: RNAcentral
UUCCCUCUUUUCUAUUCUUUUCCAAACCCUAACAUAAACCAAUUCUGUUCUAUCGGCACCCUCAAAACCCUAACAACACACAAGCAUCUUCAUCAACAAAUCAACAAUGGUGAUGGUCAGUUCAUGAGACCAUCCGCUUUUUGUUUUCCUGCUCAAUCCCUGUUGAUCAGAGGGUUUGACGGGACACGUGGACCCCAACUCUAGAUGGAUAUUUGAACUGCAAUGAUCUCUAUAUACAACUGAAUACGUAGCUUUUAACAGAGGUUUUUGCUUAUCUACAAAAUUUGACCCAUGUAACCCAAGAGGUUGAAGCUGAAGAACAACCAAAUUUUUUGCGGAAUAUUUAGUUUACCAUUGUGCCUUAUUUCGCUUUUCUUAAGAGAGAGGGCAGUGAUUGGUGGUUUGGCCAGGCUCAAUCUGUUUUGGGGUGAUAGUUCUCAGUGCCAUUUUGAAGUUCAGGUUGUGUUUAAGUGAUUAAUGUAGCUAGAAGGUUGUUAGCUAGCAAGCUACAUUAUUCCACCAAAGAUUAGAUUACAGGAGAUUCAUUAUCUGAGGAUACACUUAUUACUGAGAGUCUGAGAGGUACAAUAUACUUUGUGCAACUUCAUUUAUAUUAAAAAAUACGGUUGUCAUAGUUUAAGGAACAAGGAACUGUAUUUUAACACAAAUGAAAACAUUACUUUUGUUACUACUAUGUUUCCAUAUUGCAUAUGCUAGCAUUAUUGUUUUAGCGAAAAGCAGGCAUCCUAGGCAUCCUAGCAGAAAAUAGUCGAAGAGAUCAAAGUUCUUGGAUUCCCAUGGAUUAGAAAUUGAGCAAGAAUGAAUACACUUGAAUGGGAGGAAUGGAAAACACUCAAAGUCUAAUGAUUCGUUUGGUAGAAUGUAAUAUGUAUGCUGUAAAUACUUUGGUGUUUGGGUUAAGCUUUUGGCUUUCCCUAUAUUAAUAAAGAUUUAGUUUAUCGUC